GACUGUGCUCUGGGUGGCGAGGUGAGCGUCUGCCCUCCGCAGCACUAACCCCCGUGUGCUAUGGGUCACGUCCUGCAGCUUUGACCCCCCUGGCCCCCUGUCAGCCGGAAUGUCCUGCGAAGUGCUUGUCACCUUCAAGCCCAUGAUAAACAAGGAUCUAGAAGGAAAUAUCUCAUUUUUGGCUCAGACGGGCGAGUUUUCAGUUCCACUGAAAUGUUCAACAAAGAAAUGUUCGCUGUCCCUCGACAAGGAGCUCAUUGACUUCGGCAGCUACGUGGUAGGAGAGACCACGUCUCGGACCAUCACAUUGACCAACGUUGGGGGCUUGGGCACGACUUUCAAGUUCCUGCCAGCUUCAGAGCCCUGUGAGAUGGACGACUCCCAGUCUGCCCUGAAAUUAAGCAGUCUGCUGACCUACGAAGAUAAAAGUUUGUAUGACAAAGCUGCCACCAGCUUCUCUGAGCAGCAGCUGGAGGGCACGGAGUCCUCCCAGGCGGACAUGCAGAGCCGGAAGGAGCUGGAGAAGCUGGACAAGGAGCA
Molecule: small RNA, 540 nt
Filed under: Pongo abelii (Sumatran orangutan)
Lineage: Eukaryota; Metazoa; Chordata; Mammalia; Primates; Hominidae
Description: retained intron
Source: RNAcentral